GAGUUUGAUCCUGGCUCAGAUUGAACGCUGGCGGCAGGCCUAACACAUGCAAGUCGAGCGGAUGAAGGGAGCUUGCUCUCUGAUUCAGCGGCGGACGGGUGAGUAAUGCCUAGGAAUCUGCCUGGUAGUGGGGGACAACGUUCCGAAAGGGACGCUAAUACCGCAUACGUCCUACGGGAGAAAGUGGGGGAUCUUCGGACCUCACGCUAUCAGAUGAGCCUAGGUCGGAUUAGCUAGUAGGUGGGGUAAUGGCUCACCUAGGCGACGAUCCGUAACUGGUCUGAGAGGAUGAUCAGUCACACUGGAACUGAGACACGGUCCAGACUCCUACGGGAGGCAGCAGUGGGGAAUAUUGGACAAUGGGCGAAAGCCUGAUCCAGCCAUGCCGCGUGUGUGAAGAAGGUCUUCGGAUUGUAAAGCACUUUAAGUUGGGAGGAAGGGCUGCAAGUUAAUACCUUGUAGUUUUGACGUUACCAACAGAAUAAGCACCGGCUAACUUCGUGCCAGCAGCCGCGGUAAUACGAAGGG
RNAcentral lists this ribosomal RNA (528 nucleotides) under Pseudomonas sp. RNAcentral's name for it is "bacterial SSU rRNA". It matches the Rfam family "Bacterial small subunit ribosomal RNA", at positions 9 to 532 of the family's 1533-position model. Lineage: Bacteria; Pseudomonadati; Pseudomonadota; Gammaproteobacteria; Pseudomonadales; Pseudomonadaceae. The record is from RNAcentral.